This 509-nucleotide long non-coding RNA is filed under the name Homo sapiens (human). Its description in RNAcentral is "HSALNT0083248". The record is from RNAcentral. Lineage: Eukaryota; Metazoa; Chordata; Mammalia; Primates; Hominidae.
CCCGCCCAGGUCAACUGGGCCACAUCACAGCACAUGGCCCUCAGGGAAGGUCAGGACCACACUCACAAUGACCGUUUGUCAGAACAGCUCAGAAUCGGGCUGGGGUUGACCUGACACACCUGGGCUCUGGUGCAGGAAGGGACUUUGUCUGCGUGUCCCCAGCCUGCGGGAGUGUGGGACACGUUGCUGUGUUCUCGGCCCCACCUGUGCACUCUGUCACGCAGCCGACUAGCACUGUCCUAAAGAUGGAGCGGCAUCCACUCCCACCCACGUGCUGAGUGGUGCCCGGCGCAGAGGGGCGGCUGGGCAGGCAGAGGUCAGUUUCUGAUUCUCCCUCCUCAAAGAUGUCCGGUCCAGCCAGCAGGACUGGCAGCACCACGGGAAGGCCACACGUUUUAGGCCGACAUGAACUUCGUUGACACGACCCAGGAGCACGACCUAACCCUGCCGAGGAGGGACGCCUUUGGAAGGAGGGGCAAAACAGGUGUGUAAGGACUCGCAUGGCUCGU